This is an unclassified non-coding RNA of Otolemur garnettii (small-eared galago), 100 nucleotides long. It matches the Rfam family "Y RNA". Rfam says of the family: Y RNAs are components of the Ro ribonucleoprotein particle (Ro RNP), in association with Ro60 and La proteins. NCBI's taxonomy places the organism in Eukaryota, Metazoa, Chordata, Mammalia, Primates, Galagidae. The record is from Ensembl.
UGCUGGUCCAAGUGUGGUAGUGUUUACAAUAUUGAUAGCAACCAGUUACAGAAUUCUUUGUUCUGUCUUCACUCCCAUCGCUUCAUCUGACUAACAAAAA